GCCAUCGCCAUAUUUGACAAACAUAGGGGUAGAAUAUGAGAAGGAUGAGGGUUAUCGUCAGGGAAAAAUUCUUAUGUUUAUGUUAAGGAUGUUGAUGAGAGAAAAUAGAAAGGAAAAAAAGACAAAAAAGAGAGAGAGAGAGAUGAUAACCCCUUUCUCCCACUGAAGCCACAACCCUGCAUUGAAUCUGCCAUAUCCAUGAACUCCCAACCACUGCACUUGAACCCAAAUUUUAUAUCGUAUCUCUAUCAAAUCAAACCCAAAACCACCUCUGUUAAAUCACACCAUUAUAGUCUAUAAAAAAGACCCCAAUAACGACCUUCGAAAUCGCAUGGCUCCACCAUAACCACCAUCGACAAACCCAAAAUGGGAAGCUUUUAAUAGUAUUCCGGUACCCAUAAUCGUAAAGUUAUGGAUACCAAUUUCUCUGGACGAGUCUCAGAUGCAUAUAUAUUCAAACUUCACUCAGACUGAGUUACGCUUGCUCAAGAUUUCAUAAGGAUGGACUUCAUGGUGGAGAUUUCGUAGGGAUUUUGCAAAUGUUUGCAAUGGACUUGGCGAUAGAGAUUGCUAUGAUCGUGUAGGUUUUUCAGUGGAGUUAAAUCAGGUUUUUUUCUAUAGCUUUUGCAGUUGUUGAUGCUGAUAAUAAAGACAAUUGGUGUUGGUUCCUUAAACAUUUAUGUGAAGUAUUGGGAUCGAAAAGGGUGAUAAGUUUGAUAUCAGAUCGACAUUGUGGUAUUGUGG
Molecule: non-coding RNA, 744 nt
Organism: Camellia sinensis
Lineage: Eukaryota; Viridiplantae; Streptophyta; Magnoliopsida; Ericales; Theaceae
Source: RefSeq, a predicted model, not a curated record